AUGGAUGGGCCUGCUGAGACUCCUGCUGUUACGGAGCAUGAGAUGAGCGAGAUCCCUGAACCUACCAGCGGUGAGCAAGCCGAUGCUAGCAUUGAGGAACAAGCCAAUCCUGAGAGUGAUGUGCCAGAGCAGAUCAAGGAAGAAGCGGAAAAUACAUCUGAUGAGGAACCCAAAGGCACAAACAACGAAGAAUCUGGGAACCCGAGUGAUGAAGCACAGGUGACUGUAAAAGAUGAGGAUAUGGGGGAUCAAAAUAGCGAGGACCAGGCUAUCCGUUCACUUGAAGAGCCAGCUGAAGCAGAGCAACUGGCCAAUGUGGAGACGGAAGACACGAAAUGGCCUGGGUGGCCUGGAGAAAGUGUGUUCCGUGUACUGGUUUCUGCCCAAAAGGUGGGUGCGCUCAUUGGCCGCAAAGGGGAAUUUAUCAAAAGAAUGUGUGAUGAAUCCAAAGCCCGCAUAAAGAUUCUUGAUGGCCCACCAGGUGUUCCAGAAAGAGCUGUAAUGAUUUCAGCAAAGGAUGAGCCAGAUGCACUCGUUCCGCCAGCCAUUGAUGGUCUGCUCAGAGUACAUAAUAGAAUAACAGAUGGUUUAGACAGUGAAACCGACCAGGCUCAGCGAGGUGCUGGUCCUGCAGGGCCAACACGGCUACUUGUGCCAGCUUCCCAAGCUGGCAGCCUGAUUGGCAAGCAAGGAGCAACCAUUAAAUCAAUACAGGAUGCUUCAAAGUGUGCUCUCCGCAUUCUUGAGAAUGUGCCACCUGUAGCACUAAAUGAUGACAGAGUUGUCGAGAUACAAGGUGAACCUCAUGAUGUUCACAAAGCAGUGGAACUGAUUGCAAGCCAUUUGAGAAAAUUUCUUGUUGACCGUAGUGUUCUCCCUUUAUUCGAAAUGCAGAUGAAAGUGCACAGUGCGCCCAGAGAGCAACCUAUGCCUGCUCCUCAGCAGUGGGGUCCUCCUCCGCCCUGGAGUCAUCCACCAAACAUUCCUCCCAGUGGCCCAGGUUAUGGUGGGAAUCCACAUUUUAUGCCGCCACGGCCACAAGACAACUAUUAUCCUCCUCCUGAUGUGCACCAUGUGGAAAAGCAACCGCACUAUGGGAUUUCUUCAUAUGGACGUGAUGCAAAUCCAACUGCUGCUCCUACCUCAGGGAAUCAACACCUAUCGCAUGGGUCUUCUCAAAUUUCGCAAAAAAUGCAAGUUCCUCUUUCCUAUGCUGAUGCUGUGAUUGGGUCUGCUGGUGCCAAUAUUAGCUAUAUCCGCAAGCAUAGUGGUGCGACAAUAAGUAUUCAAGAAGGUGUUCCUGGGGAGAUGACGGUCGAGAUCGCAGGAAGUGCCUCACAAGUUCAAACUGCUCAGCAGCUGAUCAAGAAUUUCAUGGCCGAAGCUUCUCCCCAAGUUCCUCCACCAGGUCCCGCUCCUCCCUCCCAACCAGUUGACUCGGGCUACAACUCAUACCCGCCGUAUGGAGGACCGUCGUAUGCAACCCCUCCAGGCGGCGCAGGUCCUACCCCUCACAAUGGGGGAGGCUAUGGGGCACACUACCCGCCGAACUACGGGUACUAG
This 1563-nucleotide ribosomal RNA is filed under the name Triticum aestivum (bread wheat). Its description in RNAcentral is "partial small subunit ribosomal RNA". Lineage: Eukaryota; Viridiplantae; Streptophyta; Magnoliopsida; Poales; Poaceae. The record is from RNAcentral.